AAUGAAUGAAUGGUUGAAUGAAUGAAUGAAUGAAUGAAUCAUUGAAUACUGACUAUUUAAAUUAUGAAUACGUGACUUGUGAUCUGUCAAAUGAGCAUGCCAUUCUUUUUAAAUAUCCGUAAUCUUGCCAAGAUGCUGUCGACACACUAAAAGUGUUUUUAUUUUAUUUUUUAAUAGAAUAUAAUGAUUAUAACUGUGAUUCCGAUUUUGUUUCUAAUGUAUUGACGCAGAGUGAUGACGUACAAUUCAACGGACGGUUAGAAUGCGGUAGUUUUCAUUUAUGUGGAUCUAAAACACCCUUAUUCUUUUGAUUAAAAUAUGUGCUUUAAAAUAGUAUUUGAUUUGUCUACGUAAGCGAUCAACCAGCCGUUUCAGGCAUCGUAUUAUAACAAAGUAAUUUGUUAAAAACAUUAUGAUUUGUACCUCGAGUAUGAAUCGUAAAUUAUUUGCGUGAUUUUUUAAUAGGAAUUGUCUCGCAGGUUCAAACAAUUACGAUCAAGACGAAUUAACAUUGAACAAAUAUGUAAGUUAAAUCUUUUUACACGUGUUUGUCGAGCAAAAAAUAUAUAUGUUUAUAUUCUGAUCUUUUUUUUUAAACCAAUGCUGAGUCACUUUUCUAUAAAAUAAUCGCAUUACAAAACUAUGUUAUGUUUUCGAUAGUGAAUACGAGAGACAGGACACCGCUUCAAAUCAAGGUACAAUAUCCUUUUCUUAUAUCAUAUAUUAGAAAACAUUCCGCCAUGUACGGAUGUUGGAACCCUGCGUAACAUCCGUAUGUGACGUAACAUCCGCAUGUGACGUAACACUAUGCUACGCUAUGAACUCUGGGUAUUGAAGUCCGCUAGACUAUACGAUCCGUAAAAACCCUGCUGUGUUGAGAAUUACUGUGUAUUGAGAUUUACAAGGGUCUAUAGAGCGACCGAUAUUUAUUGACCUGACACAUGACGAGGAGGCUGGCUCCAGCAGCGCAUCUAUAGAUCUUACCGCGUCUGAAGAGGAGGUUGGCUCCAGCAGAGCGGUUCCGGACCCCUCAUUAUUAAUCGAAAGAAGUUGUGAUCUUACCGCGGGUGGUGACGCAGGCAGCGUAGUGGCAGAGCCGUCAUUAUUCAUCGAAAGGAGUUGUGAUCUUACCUCGGGUGGUGACGCAGGCAGCGUAGUGCCAGAGCCGUCAUUAUUCAUCGAAAGGAGUUGCGGAUCCGGUGACGAUGUGUCUAACUGGACAGAUACACAGCUGAACGUUUGGGAGCGUUCGUCUUGGUCCAGCGAGCGAGAGGAGAGGUCUCCAAUAAGGCGUCAGCAGACACCGUUAGCCGAACAAGAAGACAUCGCCGACGACGAAUGAUCAUCAUCGGUGAGGGGUAGACAGACACCGUUUGCUCUUCAAGCUCAAAAUACUGUCUCGCUAGAUCAACUCAACGCUAUCUUAAGGGAGUCUAAUAUUCCUUUACACGAGUCCAUUGACAGAC
Triplophysa rosa is the source of this 1466-nucleotide long non-coding RNA. RefSeq lists it as uncharacterized. The transcript is spliced from 5 exons. NCBI's taxonomy places the organism in Eukaryota, Metazoa, Chordata, Actinopteri, Cypriniformes, Nemacheilidae. The record is from RefSeq and is a predicted model, not a curated record.